UUCAUCAAUAUCUCCACUCCCAAAAAUCUCUCCAACAAACAAAUCAAAUCUCUAUAAUAUAUGUACGUCCCUCCCCACAACUUCAUCUGUUAGCAUCCGCUGUUUCAAAUUUCAGUGCAAUUUUCUUCUCUUCCACAAAAGAGGAGAACCGAGAGAGAGCCCUCAAUUCCUCUUGUUUGCUAGCAGCUUUUCUUCAUUUCAAAGGUUGAACGGCGAUGCGCAAUUGGUGGUGUUGAGCAAUUAAAAUUGAAGUAUUAUUUGGUUAUCUUUGAACUACGAGUGUCGUUGUGUCUCCACACAUGACAUCACUCUUUCUCUUGAACGCUUCCGCUGAGACAUUGUUUUUACUCAUCAUUUAUUUAGCUUUGAACCUAAUUAUUUGGAUAUUUGAAAACUUGAUAUCUUUUGGAUAAUGUUAAA
Long non-coding RNA from Salvia splendens (bonfire salvia), 420 nucleotides. RefSeq lists it as uncharacterized. Lineage: Eukaryota; Viridiplantae; Streptophyta; Magnoliopsida; Lamiales; Lamiaceae. The transcript has 3 exons. The record is from RefSeq and is a predicted model, not a curated record.